This 236-nucleotide ribosomal RNA is filed under the name Glomeromycotina sp. Its description in RNAcentral is "partial small subunit ribosomal RNA". The stretch from base 40 to 236 matches the Rfam family "Eukaryotic small subunit ribosomal RNA", at positions 686 to 884 of the family's 1831-position model. Lineage: Eukaryota; Fungi; Glomeromycota. The record is from RNAcentral.
GGGUCAGUAGGUUGGUCGUGCCACCGGUACGUACUGGUCUCACUGAUUCCUCCUUCCUGAAGAACCGUAAUGCCAUUAAUUUGGUGUUGCGGGGAAACAGGACUGUUACUUUGAAAAAAUUAGAGUGUUUAAAGCAAGCUAACGCUUGAAUACAUUAGCAUGGAAUAAUGAAAUAGGACGAUCGAUCCUAUUUUGUUGGUUUCUAGGAUUGACGUAAUGAUUAAUAGGGAUUUGGG